Molecule: transfer RNA, 63 nt
Filed under: Disteniidae sp. BMNH 899837
Lineage: Eukaryota; Metazoa; Arthropoda; Insecta; Coleoptera; Cerambycidae
Description: tRNA-Pro
Source: RNAcentral
CAGGAGAUAGUUUUAUAAAAAUAUUAAUUUUGGAGAUUAAAGAUAAGAGUUUCUUUUUCCUGA